Molecule: ribosomal RNA, 253 nt
Filed under: uncultured microorganism
Description: partial 16S ribosomal RNA
Rfam family: Bacterial small subunit ribosomal RNA
Source: RNAcentral
UACGUAGGGUGCGAGCGUUAAUCGGAUUUACUGGGCGUAAAGCGUGCGCAGGCGGCCCGUUAAGACAGGUGUGAAAUCCCUGGGCUCAACCUAGGAAUUGCGCUUGUGACUGGCGGGCUCGAGUACGGUAGAGGGGGGUGGAAUUCCUGGUGUAGCAGUGAAAUGCGUAGAGAUCAGGAGGAACACCGAAGGCGAAAGCGGGUUCCUGGGCCUGUACUGACGCUCAUGCACGAAAGCGUGGGGAGCAAACAGG